CCAUGCAAGUCGAGCGGGGUUUACGGAGCAGCUUGCUGCACUGUAAACCUAGCGGCGGACGGGUGAGUAACGCGUGGGCAACCUGCCUUACACAGGGGGAUAACACUGGGAAACUAGUGCUAAUACCGCAUAACAUCAUUUUAUGGCAUCAUGAGAUGAUCAAAGGAGCAAUCCGGUGUAAGAUGGGCCCGCGUCCGAUUAGCUAGUUGGUGAGGUAACGGCUCACCAAGGCGACGAUGGGUAGCCGACCUGAGAGGGUGAUCGGCCACACUGGGACUGAGACACGGCCCAGACUCCUACGGGAGGCAGCAGUGGGGAAUAUUGCACAAUGGAGGGAACUCUGAUGCAGCAACGCCGCGUGAGUGAAGAAGGUUUUCGGAUCGUAAAACUCUGUCAUUGGGGAAGAAUAAAUGACGGUACCCAAUGAGGAAGCCCCGGCUAACUACGUGCCAGCAGCCGCGGUAAUACGUAGGGGGCGAGCGUUGUCCGGAAUUACUGGGCGUAAAGGGUACGUAGGCGGCUAUAUAAGUCAGGUGUGAAAUACCAGUGCUUAACACUGGAAUUGCAUUUGAAACUGUGUAGCUUGAGUGCAGGAGAGGAAAGUGGAAUUCCUAGUGUAGCGGUGAAAUGCGUAGAGAUUAGGAGGAACACCAGUGGCGAAGGCGACUUUCUGGACUGUAACUGACGCUGAGGUACGAAAGCGUGGGUAGCGAACAGGAUUAGAUACCCUGGUAGUCCACGCCGUAGACGAUGGAUACUAGGUGUAGGGGGUAUCGACCCCCCCUGUGCCGGAGUUAACGCAAUAAGU
RNAcentral lists this ribosomal RNA (808 nucleotides) under uncultured bacterium. RNAcentral's name for it is "bacterial SSU rRNA". It matches the Rfam family "Bacterial small subunit ribosomal RNA", at positions 53 to 865 of the family's 1533-position model. The record is from RNAcentral.